CGGGGCGUAGCGCAGCCUGGUAGCGCACCUGAAUGGGGUUCAGGUGGUCGCCCGUUCAAAUCGGGCCGCCCCGACCU
RNAcentral lists this transfer RNA (77 nucleotides) under Anaerolineae bacterium. RNAcentral describes it as "tRNA-Pro". It matches the Rfam family "tRNA". From Rfam's summary of the family: Transfer RNA (tRNA) molecules are approximately 80 nucleotides in length. Lineage: Bacteria; Bacillati; Chloroflexota; Anaerolineae. The record is from RNAcentral.